RNAcentral lists this long non-coding RNA (329 nucleotides) under Elaeis guineensis (African oil palm). Its description in RNAcentral is "long non-coding RNA (EGUI_LNC015668)". Lineage: Eukaryota; Viridiplantae; Streptophyta; Magnoliopsida; Arecales; Arecaceae. The record is from RNAcentral.
GGUGGGUUUGGGGGUCACGUGCAAAUUAGUUGGAGAGAGAGAGAGGAGGGGUCACCUGUGAAUUAGUUGGCGAGCUGCGGGGCUAGUUAUGGAUACUUUAUGUGGGUUUGGCUGCUCAGAGAGAGAGAGAGAGAGAGAUUCGCGGGUUCAGAGAUCACAUGCAAUUAUUUCUGGAAGCGAAGUAUCCAGCUUCGAUUGUCUUGUCUGGCCCCAAGCAAUUUUUUGAAAAUUAGGCUGAAGCCUGAAGGCGACUCCGUGCCGCUGGUUCAUCUGUGGUCGGAUCGCUAACAUCAGUCCGAUGUUAUAAAUAAUUUUUAUUUUAAAAAUCU